CUGUGCCACUGCAGUGACAACACAAAGCCCUUAACCACUAGGCCACAGGAAACUCCCUCCUUUGUUCUUAUAAUGGCUACACAAGCUCUGUAAUAUGGAUGGAGUGGUCAUUUGUUUCAUUCUUCCACCACUGGUGAACAUGUAGACUGUGAACAACUAAUCCUUAUUACAAAGGAUGCCACAAUGUGCCACCUUGUGCAUGCCACUUCAUUCACACAGGUGAACUAUUUUCUGGGAUAAAGUCCCCCUGAGUUUCUAUUACUUUAAAUUGACUCCUGUGUCUGCUGUGUCCCAGUAAUUACUUAUAUCUCUGAUUCAGAAAGGCAGAAAUGGAUGCCUACAGGUUCCCAGAAAUGUAACUAUCAGCCUUCAGAACAAAAUUCAUAUCUCCCUUAAAGUAUACCCUGCCUAGUUAAGAACUCACUUUCAGGUCAUUCUGUAUCAUUAACCCAGAACACUCGCGCCCUGGUUCUUCAGUGCUGUUAACCACGACCUCCCAGUGAGAGUAAGUUUUGAGAGUUCUGAAAGUCUGAUUAAAGAAGACAGCACUUGUUUGACCCUGGGCAAUGAGGGCUUAUGCAAAGUCCUGAUCAGGUUUCGGGAAGGAUGCACACACCCCUGUGGGACUUCAAGACCUCUUCAAGGAGACACAACUCAAAGCCUCUGGCCAAGACAAGAAUUAUCAGACCCUUAUCAUCAUGCUGCUGUCUCACUAUAAUGCCACACACCCCACUUUUCAGCCACUUGGCCCACUCCUUCCUACCUCUACUAAGAAAAGUAUGUGGCCCACUACUCACUGCACCCCUAUAGGGGAAAUAUAGGUCUCCAACCAACCAGCAAGUGUAUUGGAAGACCCCAUCUUUCCCCUUUGUCUCUAGGCUACAAAAACAGAUAUGACAAAUCCCUGGGUCAGCUAUCCCUGAUUAUCAAGAAGUCAGCCCUCUGUGUUAACAGCAUCUCUUGUCUCAAUAAAGUUGUCUUGCUUUGCAUCUGGAAAUUCUUCUUCUGAUCUAUGUGCACAGGCCAUGACCCCUCCCCCUCUGCCCCCCAAAAUAGACAUGGAACCAAAUACAGAAGCCAGCUGUAGAGAAUUUGAAGCUAAAAUCAUCUUUUUCUUCAUCCAAUUUUCUUCAUUAUCUAUUACAGAAUAUUAAACCUUUUUCUUAAUUGAUCUAGGCAAAGCUUUCUGCUUGUUCCUGUUUGAGGUCAUUGUGGCGAGAAAUACCGUAAUAACUGAGUUGGAUUGCCUAAUCACAAGAUGGCAAUUCCCAGAAUGAGAUUCUGCACCCAGAGCUGCUCUAUCAAGCAAACUGACCAAUACACUUCCUCUGCACUUCCCAUGCCCAUGGUUAGCACAGGUUUAAUAAUUGGAAGCCAAGACAUAGAGUGAAGCUCGUGAUGGAAACUGUAAGGCAGGUGUGGUCUCUAAAAAGAUGUGGUUUUUGGAGUUCCCAGGCGGCCCAGCAACUUUAGGAUCCCAAGUUGUUACUGCUGGGACUCAGGUUACUUACUACUGUGGCAUGGGUUCGAUCCCUGGUCUGGGAACUUCCACAUACUAAGAGUUCCCUUCGUGGCUCAGCAGUUAAUGAACCCGACUAGGAUCCAUGAGGAUGAGGGUUCGAUCCCUGGCCUUGCUCAGUGGUUAAGGAUCUGGCAUUGCCAAGAGCUGUGGUGAGGCUGCAGGCACAGCUCAGAUCCUGUGGGGCUGUGGCUGUGGUGUAGGUCAAUAGCUGUAGCUCCAAUUCAACCCCUAGCCUGGGAACUUCCAAAUGCCACAACUGCGGCCCUAAAAAAAGGCAAAAAAAAAAAAAAAGAAAGAAAAGAAAGAAAAAGACGUAGAU
This 1841-nucleotide long non-coding RNA is filed under the name Sus scrofa (pig). RNAcentral describes it as "lncRNA (ENSSSCG00000061582.1)". The record is from RNAcentral. Lineage: Eukaryota; Metazoa; Chordata; Mammalia; Artiodactyla; Suidae.